AUGCUGGUCGACGGCGAGCUCGCUCUGGCCACGGGGGACCUCGUGCCAUCGUCGCCAUGGCCGGUGGAGUCCACGGGCCUCCUUCUGUCCCGGCGUGAGAACAUCUACCCCGCCGGUGCUCCAUGGAGAGGCGGACGAGCUAGUGCUGCUCACUCUCUCCAGCGAGAGGAAAAUGAAUGGUGCCCAAAAGAUGUUCGACGGAAUGCCUCAAAGAAAGAGAUAUGGGAAGAAGAUGGCCGUCUAGUCAUUGACAGAUGGGGUCCACAUUUCAUUUGCCACAUCAGUUGGUCAAAGCUUUUAGUCGUCGCCACGUCAGCCCGACAUGCGGGCCCAACUUGUCAGUUUCGCUAUUUUCGCAAGCUUAUCAGACAAUCAGUACUCCGCGUUAUAGAUUAG
Molecule: ribosomal RNA, 396 nt
Filed under: Triticum aestivum (bread wheat)
Lineage: Eukaryota; Viridiplantae; Streptophyta; Magnoliopsida; Poales; Poaceae
Description: partial small subunit ribosomal RNA
Source: RNAcentral